UUCCAAAAAUGAAAUCUUAAAGAAUUGUAAAUUCGAAUUAAUCGAUUAAAUCGAUUUAUCGCCCAGCUCUAUUCAGAUCUCUGAUCCGUUUUAACUAGGCUGAACUGAUCCAGCCCGGACUUUGACUAGGCCCUUCACACAUUUAAAGGUUUCCCCUUAAAUCCCUCCAGAGACGCUUUGGGCCGUUGUCCUGCUGGAAGAUGACCCUCUGUCCCAGCCUCAGGUCCCAGGUAGCGGUUCUGAUCCAGACUAUCCCUGUAUUUAGCUCCAUCCAUCGGACCCUCGACUCUGUCCGGUUUCCCAGAACCCGGUCACUGGGCUGUUCGUCUAGCUAAUAACAGCUAGCGUUAGCUUAUGUUGUCCGGAAGGUUUACAGCUUAGCUGGCGCUGAUGUUCUGGGGCUUAACUGGCCUUUUUCAACGUUGCUGUCACACAUCCGUGUCGUACCGUUAGCUUAGCACGUAGCGCUGUAGCGUUAACGGUCUAAUUUCAGUGUAAUGUUGACGACUUUCAGCGUGACGGGCCGCUGCACAGAAACGCGCUGACGAGAACCCUGGUUUGGACCAGACAGCGUUUUCAUUGGUGGCUGAAGAGUUCAGUUUUGGUCUCAUCUGGCCAGAGCGCCUUCCUCCAUACUCAUAGGGAGCUGCCCAAGUGCCUUUUGGCAAACUCAAUUUAUUUUUAGCCCACAGUAGUCUUUUUCUGGCCUCUCCUCCAUGAAGCCCAGCUCCUUGGUCUUCGUGGCGCUUGGUGCUGCUGCACCUCUGGAUGCUUUCAGGACAGGUGUGUUCACCUACAGGUCAUGUGACCCUUAGAUCUCACACAGGUGGACUUCAUUUCACUAACUAUGGGACUUUUGAAGGUAAUUAGCUUUCUUUUUUAUUUUCACCUUACAAACUUAAGACUAUUUUGUUCAGAUCAGUCUCAUAAAAUACGAGUGAAAACAUUUAAAUUAUAAGCUGGAAUGUAAGAAAAUGGGUGAGAAGCUAAGAGGGGGUGAAUACAUUUGCAAGGCGCUGUAGAUUAACUGUCUCUAUUGCCUUUUGAAAAACACAAAUGCACAUUUUUAAGAAGCUAUAUUUACUUAUUCCACCACCACGUACGCUACGGCGGGCGUGGAAUCAGCUUUCAUUCUCCUCGGCUUCAGCUGCUGAUCCGCAGGAAUUCAGUCCCAAACUGCUGAGAGGCAUCGGUUUCGGGGAGCUUCGGGAUUUCGUUUAGACACUGUAGCAAUUCCUCACCCCUGCUGUCAGCGAGCAGAGGGCAACGGAGGGGUGGGAAGGGAGUGGAGACGGGUAAAGAGAAAGAAGACAGCAAAAAGAAGGAGCGGAGCCAAGCCAAGUGAUCGGACUCGGCUCCAUCUCAUCUCAUCCGGUUCAUUAGCCGCACGCCUCUUCCCCAACGACGAGUCGACGCCUUUUAUCGACUCCAGGGACCCGAUGAGGGGGCUUCAAUGGCUGCGUGAUGAGAUAAACAGGUUCACCGCCUGCGACCCAACACAGAAGAAACCGGCUCCAACUGAAACCCUGCAGAGACGCUCUCAUCAGCGAGGCGUCACACGGCGUCAACCUGCCAUCAAAACGAGCGAACACGAGGCGAAGCGGCGGGGCGUUUGAAGCUGACCCGUCAGCAGCCGUCAGUCUGGACUCGGCAGCGCCGCCCGGGACGGUGACGGCAUGCUGGGAGCAAAGUUCACGUCCAGCCGGACUGACAGGAACAGAGGAGAUGGCGACAGACGGGGAGAACGACACGUG
Long non-coding RNA from Fundulus heteroclitus (mummichog), 1754 nucleotides. RefSeq lists it as uncharacterized. Lineage: Eukaryota; Metazoa; Chordata; Actinopteri; Cyprinodontiformes; Fundulidae. The transcript has 3 exons. The record is from RefSeq and is a predicted model, not a curated record.